RNAcentral lists this ribosomal RNA (651 nucleotides) under uncultured Enterobacteriaceae bacterium. RNAcentral's name for it is "bacterial SSU rRNA". It matches the Rfam family "Bacterial small subunit ribosomal RNA", at positions 847 to 1502 of the family's 1533-position model. Lineage: Bacteria; Pseudomonadati; Pseudomonadota; Gammaproteobacteria; Enterobacterales; Enterobacteriaceae. The record is from RNAcentral.
CGGAGCUAACGCGUUAAAUCGACGCUGGGAGUACGGCCGCAAGGUUAAAACUCAAAUGAAUUGACGGGGCCCGCACAGCGGUGGAGCAUGUGGUUUAAUUCGAUGCAACGCGAAGAACCUUACCUGGUCUUGACAUCCAUAGAAUCUUUCAGAGAUGAGAGAGUGCCUUCGGGAGCUAUGAGACAGGUGCUGCAUGGCUGUCGUCAGCUCGUGUUGUGAAAUGUUGGGUUAAGUCCCGCAACGAGCGCAACCCCUAUCCUUUGUUGCCAGCACGUAAUGGUGGGAACUCAAAGGAGACUGCCGUUGAUAAAGCGGAGGAAGGUGGGGACGACGUCAAGUCAUCAUGGCCCUUACGACCAGGGCUACACACGUGCUACAAUGGCGUAUACAAAGGGAUGCGAAGGUGCGAACUGGAGCGGACCUCACAAAGUACGUCUAAGUCCGGAUUGGAGUCUGCAACUCGACUCCAUGAAGUCGGAAUCGCUAGUAAUCGUGAAUCAGAAUGUCACGGUGAAUACGUUCCCGGGCCUUGUACACACCGCCCGUCACACCAUGGGAGUGGGUUGCACCAGAAGUAGAUAGCUUAACCUUCGGGAGGGCGUUUACCACGGUGUGGUUCAUGACUGGGGUGAAGUCGUAACAAGGUAACCA